GAUCCUGGCUCAGAUUGAACGCUGGCGGCAUGCCUUACACAUGCAAGUCGAACGGCAGCACGGACUUCGGUCUGGUGGCGAGUGGCGAACGGGUGAGUAAUGUAUCGGAACGUACCUUUCAGUGGGGGAUAACGUAGCGAAAGUUACGCUAAUACCGCAUAUUCUGUGAGCAGGAAAGCAGGGGGAUCGCAAGACCUUGCGCUGAUUGAGCGGCCGAUAUCAGAUUAGCUAGUUGGUGGGGUAAAGGCCUACCAAGGCGACGAUCUGUAGCGGGUCUGAGAGGAUGAUCCGCCACACUGGAACUGAGACACGGUCCAGACUCCUACGGGAGGCAGCAGUGGGGAAUUUUGGACAAUGGGGGCAACCCUGAUCCAGCCAUGCCGCGUGAGUGAAGAAGGCCUUCGGGUUGUAAAGCUCUUUCGGCCGGGAAGAAAUCGCACAGGCUAAUACCCUGUGUGGACGACGGUACCGGAAUAAGAAGCACCGGCUAACUACGUG
RNAcentral lists this ribosomal RNA (498 nucleotides) under uncultured bacterium. RNAcentral describes it as "bacterial SSU rRNA". It matches the Rfam family "Bacterial small subunit ribosomal RNA", at positions 15 to 507 of the family's 1533-position model. The record is from RNAcentral.